GCUGGCGGCAUGCUUUACACAUGCAAGUCGAACGGCAGCACGGGUGCUUGCACCUGGUGGCGAGUGGCGAACGGGUGAGUAAUAUAUCGGAACGUACCCGGAAAUGGGGGAUAACGUAGCGAAAGUUACGCUAAUACCGCAUAUGCCCUGAGGGGGAAAGUGGGGGAUCCGCAAGGACCUCACGUUUUCGGAGCGGCCGAUAUCAGAUUAGCUAGUUGGUGGGGUAAAGGCCUACCAAGGCGACGAUCUGUAGCUGGUCUGAGAGGACGACCAGCCACACUGGAACUGAGACACGGUCCAGACUCCUACGGGAGGCAGCAGUGGGGAAUUUUGGACAAUGGGCGCAAGCCUGAUCCAGCCAUGCCGCGUGAGUGAAGAAGGCCUUCGGGUUGUAAAGCUCUUUCAGCCGGAAAGAAAACGCACGGGUUAAUACCUUGUGUGGAUGACGGUACCGGAAGAAGAAGCACCGGCUAACUACGUGCCAGCAGCCGCGGUAAUACGUAGGGUGCGAGCGUUAAUCGGAAUUACUGGGCGUAAAGCGUGCGCAGGCGGUUUUUUAAGACAGAUGUGAAAUCCCCGGGCUUAACCUGGGAACUGCAUUUGUGACUGGAAGACUAGAGUACGGCAGAGGGGGGUAGAAUUCCACGUGUAGCAGUGAAAUGCGUAGAUAUGUGGAGGAAUACCGAUGGCGAAGGCAGCCCCCUGUGUCGAUACUGACGCUCAUGCACGAAAGCGUGGGGAGCAAACAGGAUUAGAUACCCUGGUAGUCCACGCCCUAAACGAUGUCAACUAGGUGUUGGGGGAGGAGACUUCCUUAGUACCGCAGCUA
This 829-nucleotide ribosomal RNA is filed under the name uncultured bacterium. RNAcentral describes it as "bacterial SSU rRNA". It matches the Rfam family "Bacterial small subunit ribosomal RNA", at positions 35 to 854 of the family's 1533-position model. The record is from RNAcentral.